Salvia miltiorrhiza (redroot sage) is the source of this 1639-nucleotide long non-coding RNA. RefSeq lists it as uncharacterized. NCBI's taxonomy places the organism in Eukaryota, Viridiplantae, Streptophyta, Magnoliopsida, Lamiales, Lamiaceae. The record is from RefSeq and is a predicted model, not a curated record. The transcript has 2 exons.
CACCCCCGCGGCUCCCUUUUCUUGUUUUCUUAAACUCAUAUUUUCUCAACACUAAAACACAUUUUCUAUGUUUGUAAAGGAAAACAUCCAUAUUCUUCACAUCGUUUUCUUGAUUACCUACUUGGCGCAUUCUCUUUUCAUUCAAAGAUGCUGAUUAUUAUUUUUCUUCACAGUCAAUAUCAGAAUAUCAAUCACUCGUUUUUUCCCAAUUAACUACUAUAUCUCUAAUCAUCUUUUAUUUUUCCUUUCGGUGAUUUUUAAGGUUAAGAUAAGGUUAAUUGAUAGCGGAAUCUGGCAAAUCGAGUUUCUUGAUUUUUUUAUUUUUUGAAAUGAAACAUCACAAAAUAAGGUUGUUUUGCCUUUGUUCUUCUCUUUGCGUUGUCUGAAAUCUAGAGAUUCUCAUUUGCUGAUGAUGUCACCGUAAUUCUCUUCUUUGUGAAUUUCAGCCAUUGGUAAUGCGCCACAUCAGCAUCGUUGCUCGUGGUUCCGAUUCCAGCGCGCCCAUAAAUUUCAGCCAUCAGUCUCUCCAUUUCACACACACACACACUUGCAUCUUUCUAAAGAAAUGAUUUUUCAGAGUCCCAUUAACGUGUUUGUUCGAAUCUUGGAGAUUUUGUGGUAGAAUUAAUACAGUCGUUGUUUUCUGGUGUAGCAUCAUCAAGAUUCACAUGCAAAAGCAUAUGGUGGCUGCUAAGAUGAUGAUACCAUCUCUCUCUCUCUCUCUUCACCUCAGCUUUGGAUGGUGAGAAUCUUGAUGAUGCUGCAUCGGCAAUAAACGACUAGAAAUGGUCGGUUGAAAAGUCUAUGUGAUGAAAGAGGGAAAAACACUCACGCUUCCCCAGUUUGUAUGGUUUCUGUCUUUGCUUAAUUAUAUUUCCUGGUAUGGCAUCAAUGGAACAUGUAGUUCUCGGUGCAAAAACUUCAAAUUAAAUUAGAGGUGAGAAAAUCUUAGUUUUUGUCAAUUUAUUACAUUCAAAUGUACAUAUGUUAUGAGCAUUUCUUGCAAGAAAUUUGAAAUUAAGAUGGUAAAUUAGAGGUGGAGUUUGCAGCUUGCUUGAAGACAUGUAAUUUAAUCUUCUUCUGCAUCUCUAGCCUUAUCCUCAUCACCUCUUGAUGAAUUUGCCUUCCAUUAGUUCAUCAUCAUUUAUUACAAGAGGCCCCCUUUUUCUUGCACUCAAGAUCCUGUUUUCCAGUUCUUGGUGGGAUUUCCACUUUUUUUUGAUAAAUUAAAUAAGUAAAUAAAGAAAUUUUAAAUUUCGCACGACGGAGGACUCGAAUCGAGAACCUCAAAUUUUGGGUAUUAACGAUCUCUUACCGUUGGCCAACACACGCAGACUUUUUUUUUUUUAUAUAUUCUUAUUCUAACUGUCUGUGGCUGCUACUGCUACUAUAUCUAAUAGCCGGACUUAGCCCCAAACCCAAAUAGGAAAGUUCCUAUAUAUAUCAUUCGUCCCACUUUUAUUAUUUUAUCUUUUUUCAUUGCAAAUUUAUAAAAUUACCAAUAUUUUUUUUGAUUUCCUAGCUAGUUCUGCCACUCAAAUCAUUCUCAUAUAAUCAUGAGUCUUUGGCCUAGUUGAUGUAUUCGUAUAAAUUAAUGCAAGUAUGUUUACAAUGGAAUGUUUAUUGUAUAAUUUCUCCA